This 63-nucleotide microRNA precursor is filed under the name Paralichthys olivaceus (Japanese flounder). RNAcentral describes it as "microRNA pol-mir-10b precursor". Its record names the gene pol-mir-10b. It matches the Rfam family "mir-10 microRNA precursor family", at positions 8 to 70 of the family's 74-position model. Rfam says of the family: In this case the mature sequence comes from the 5' arm of the precursor. The extents of the hairpin precursors are not generally known and are estimated based on hairpin prediction. The record is from miRBase by way of RNAcentral. Lineage: Eukaryota; Metazoa; Chordata; Actinopteri; Pleuronectiformes; Paralichthyidae.
UACCCUGUAGAACCGAAUGUGUGUGAUGCAACCACAGUCACAGAUUCGAUUCUAGGGGAGUAU